RNAcentral lists this ribosomal RNA (519 nucleotides) under Talaromyces pinophilus. RNAcentral describes it as "eukaryotic LSU rRNA". The stretch from base 190 to 343 matches the Rfam family "5.8S ribosomal RNA". The record is from RNAcentral. Lineage: Eukaryota; Fungi; Ascomycota; Eurotiomycetes; Eurotiales; Trichocomaceae.
GGAAGGAUCAUUACCGAGUGCGGGCCCUCGCGGCCCAACCUCCCACCCUUGUCUCUAUACACCUGUUGCUUUGGCGGGCCCACCGGGGCCACCUGGUCGCCGGGGGACGUCGUCUCCGGGCCCGCGCCCGCCGAAGCGCUCUGUGAACCCUGAUGAAGAUGGGCUGUCUGAGUAUAUGAAAAUUGUCAAAACUUUCAACAAUGGAUCUCUUGGUUCCGGCAUCGAUGAAGAACGCAGCGAAAUGCGAUAAGUAAUGUGAAUUGCAGAAUUCCGUGAAUCAUCGAAUCUUUGAACGCACAUUGCGCCCCCUGGCAUUCCGGGGGGCAUGCCUGUCCGAGCGUCAUUUCUGCCCUCAAGCACGGCUUGUGUGUUGGGUGCGGUCCCCCCGGGGCUGCCCGAAAGGCAGCGGCGACGUCCGUCUGGUCCUCGAGCGUAUGGGGCUCUGUCACUCGCUCGGGACGGACCUGCGGGGGUUGGUCACCACCAUAUUUUACCACGGUUGACCUCGGAUCAGGUAGG